UUUGAACUGUUGGAUAUAUGAAACAGAGGGAUAUAACUUUGUUUCAGGAAUAAAAUAAUUUUGGUGAUUAUUUCAUGGACGUUUUUGGGGUUGAAGAAGAUGAAAAUUGUGUUGGAAAUUUUAAAAAAUAACAAGUUUUUAGUAAUACCCCCAUGCACGGUUUUGAUCAUAACUUUCAACUCGUGAAUCAUUUUGGGUUGGGGUUUGAAGCCUUAGAAAGCU
This 222-nucleotide long non-coding RNA is filed under the name Lathyrus oleraceus (garden pea). Its description in RNAcentral is "Pisum sativum (pea) long non-coding RNA (PSAT_LNC023546)". Lineage: Eukaryota; Viridiplantae; Streptophyta; Magnoliopsida; Fabales; Fabaceae. The record is from RNAcentral.